UGAACUUGAUCGAAGAUGGAGCUCAAAC
Molecule: non-coding RNA, 28 nt
Filed under: Bombyx mori (domestic silkworm)
Lineage: Eukaryota; Metazoa; Arthropoda; Insecta; Lepidoptera; Bombycidae
Source: RNAcentral